Molecule: ribosomal RNA, 469 nt
Filed under: uncultured archaeon
Lineage: Archaea
Description: bacterial SSU rRNA
Rfam family: Archaeal small subunit ribosomal RNA
Source: RNAcentral
UUCCGGUUGAUCCUGCCGGUAGGCCAUUGCUCUUGGGGUCCGAUUUAGCCAUGCUAGUCGCACGGGCUCAGACCCGUGGCAAAUAGCUCAGUAGCACGUGGCCAAUCUACCCUCCGGAAUGGAAUACCCUCGGGAAACUGAGGUUAAUCCCAUAUACGGCUCCCACUCUUGAAUGACGGGAGUCCGAAAUGCUCCGGCGCCGGAGGAUGAGGCUGCGGCCGAUUAGGUUGACGGUGGGGUAACGGCCCACCGUGCCAAUAAUCGGUCUGGGUCAUGAGAGUGAGAACCCAGAGACGGACUCUGAGACAAGAGUCCGGGCCCUACGGGGCGCAGCAGGCGCGAAACCUUUACACUGCACGUCAGUGCGAUAAGGGGACCCCAAGUGCGCAGGCAUAGUGCCUGCGCUUUUCUGGACUGUAGGGCGGUCCAGGAACAAGGGCUGGGCAAGACCGGUGCCAGCCGCCGCGGU